This 873-nucleotide ribosomal RNA is filed under the name uncultured bacterium. RNAcentral describes it as "bacterial SSU rRNA". It matches the Rfam family "Bacterial small subunit ribosomal RNA", at positions 8 to 852 of the family's 1533-position model. The record is from RNAcentral.
AGAGUUUGAUCCUGGCUCAGGACGAACGCUGGCGGCGUGCCUAAUACAUGCAAGUCGAACGCUUUUUCUUUCACCGGAGCUUGCUCCACCGAGAGAAAAAGAGUGGCGAACGGGUGAGUAACACGUGGGUAACCUGCCCAUCAGAAGGGGAUAACACUUGGAAACAGGUGCUAAUACCGUAUAACACUAUUUUCCGCAUGGAAGAAAGUUGAAAGGCGCUUUUGCGUCACUGAUGGAUGGACCCGCGGUGCAUUAGCUAGUUGGUGAGGUAACGGCUCACCAAGGCCACGAUGCAUAGCCGACCUGAGAGGGUGAUCGGCCACACUGGGACUGAGACACGGCCCAGACUCCUACGGGAGGCAGCAGUAGGGAAUCUUCGGCAAUGGACGAAAGUCUGACCGAGCAACGCCGCGUGAGUGAAGAAGGUUUUCGGAUCGUAAAACUCUGUUGUUAGAGAAGAACAAGGAUGAGAGUAGAACGUUCAUCCCUUGACGGUAUCUAACCAGAAAGCCACGGCUAACUACGUGCCAGCAGCCGCGGUAAUACGUAGGUGGCAAGCGUUGUCCGGAUUUAUUGGGCGUAAAGCGAGCGCAGGCGGUUUCUUAAGUCUGAUGUGAAAGCCCCCGGCUCAACCGGGGAGGGUCAUUGGAAACUGGGAGACUUGAGUGCAGAAGAGGAGAGUGGAAUUCCAUGUGUAGCGGUGAAAUGCGUAGAUAUAUGGAGGAACGCCAGUGGCGAAGGCGGCUCUCUGGUCUGUAACUGACGCUGAGGCUCGAAAGCGUGGGGAGCGAACAGGAUUAGAUACCCUGGUAGUCCACGCCGUAAACGAUGAGUGCUAAGUGUUGGAGGGUUUCCGCCCUUCAGUGCUGCAGC